GGGUCCAUAGCUCAGUGGUAGGGCAUUUGACUGCAGAUCAAGUUGUCACCGGUUCGAAUCCGCUUGGGCCCU
RNAcentral lists this transfer RNA (72 nucleotides) under Gossypium hirsutum (cotton). It matches the Rfam family "tRNA". From Rfam's summary of the family: Transfer RNA (tRNA) molecules are approximately 80 nucleotides in length. Lineage: Eukaryota; Viridiplantae; Streptophyta; Magnoliopsida; Malvales; Malvaceae. The record is from Rfam by way of RNAcentral.